UACGAAGGGUGCUAGCGUUGUUCGGAAUCACUGGGCGUAAAGCGCGCGUAGGCGGCUUGUCAAGUCAGGGGUGAAAUCCUGAGGCUCAACCUCAGAAUUGCCUUUGAAACUAGCAGGCUGGAGUGUCGGAGGGGAUAGCGGAAUUCCUAAUGUAGAGGUGAAAUUCGUAGAUAUUAGGAGGAACACCGGUGGCGAAGGCGGCUAUCUGGACGACAACUGACGCUGAGGCGCGAAAGCGUGGGGAUCAAACAGG
RNAcentral lists this ribosomal RNA (253 nucleotides) under uncultured bacterium. RNAcentral's name for it is "partial 16S ribosomal RNA". It matches the Rfam family "Bacterial small subunit ribosomal RNA", at positions 524 to 776 of the family's 1533-position model. The record is from RNAcentral.